UUUCAAGCGUGCAAAGCUAGACCCAAGCUGAGCAAGACUCGGACCGGACUGGCCACCAGCUUCAGUGCAAAUAAAAUCAGCACUAUUCAGGUAUGGGUAAGUUUGUUGGGAGAUGGGUCGCGCUAACGCACGACCGCGCGAUCGCCCGGCGGGCUGGCUACGGCCUACUGUACACGUGCCCCUCCAUGCCCCCUGUCUCCCUCGCCUCUCUCUCUCUCCAUUCUCUUGCCUAUCUUUCUUUUUAAAUCAAGUUUAUUGAUAAAAAUGUUUUAUCUUUCUCGUACGAGCUCUGUUUUGAAUACCUAUUGCACUAUUGUGUUCUACGUGAUGAGAUAAACAGAACUAGAUCCCACUUGCAUAUAUUUUGAAGAUGUUUUAUAUAGGUAGCAACUUAUGUGUAAAUUUGACAAUGAUCAUAUUACCGGGCAUAGUAAUGUCCACCAAGCACCGGUCCACAAUAGAAACUAUUGAACAGCUAACCUGUUCUUGAUCAACAGGCCACAGCAACUAUUGUCACCAGGGCAGUCUUCUCGACGAGUUGGCGUACAAACAAGAGAGGCACCAAAAAGCAAUACAUCGCAAGCGAUUGAAGCACGGCUUGUCUAGCAGCUAGGCUCGUCACAGGGAGCAGUGACUUGGAGUCUUGGACUAACUCUUCCAUCUCGUAUAUGUGCCACACAAGAAUGUGGACAAGGCAAAGAAAAGUUAAGUGAGCAUACGAAGUUAGUGCCGGUGCCAAUUAUGGAGUACUUAGGAAUGCAACAAAUGAAUGGAUAUACAAAUAUAUAGAACGAGAUGUAUUUAUCGAGAGGACCAUAACUUAUUUAUUUGUCCCAUAAUGCUGGUUCAGCGCAACACACUGGAUUUGUCUUAAACUAGUCUCUCAUAAUACAUUAAAUUAAGUGAUUCGUCCUUUAA
Molecule: long non-coding RNA, 918 nt
Organism: Panicum virgatum (switchgrass)
Lineage: Eukaryota; Viridiplantae; Streptophyta; Magnoliopsida; Poales; Poaceae
Exons: 2
Source: RefSeq, a predicted model, not a curated record